UGGGAGAGAAGGCUGGAGUACCUACGGACACUGCAAAUACAUGUGUUGGGAUUGUAAACUUAACAGGGUCUAUUAUUGCAAUGAUGUUGAUGGAUAGGCUUGGGAGGAAGGUGCUUCUAAUUGGGAGUUUUUUGGGCAUGGCAGUCGCAACAGGUCUUCAAGUAGCAGCUGCGAGUUCAUUUGUACCAAGCUUUGCAGUAUUAUACCUAUCAGUUGGCGGGACCCUACUGUAUGUGUUAGCAUUUUCUUUGGGUGCUGGUCCAGUCCCCAGCCUCCUGCUGUCAGAGAUAUUUCCUGGCCGGAUUAGAGCAAAGGCAAUGGCUUUAUGCAUGGCUGCACAUUGGGUCAUAAAUUUUUUGGUCGGCCUUCUGUUUCUGCCGAUGCUUGAGCAUCUUGGACCACAAAUAGUUUAUGCGAUCUUUGCAGGAUUUUGCUUGUUUGCACUGGCCUUUGUGAAAAAGAAUGUGGUGGAAACGAAAGGGAAAACAUUACAGGAGAUUGAGUUUGCCCUUCUUCCAUCUCAUUAGUUGGUGACUAGAUCACACUCUAUACUAAAGUUCAGAUUGGAAAAUGUUAAGGUCCUAGUGAUUGAACAUCCAAAUUCUUUGCUAUAGCUAUUUCUUGAUUUGUACAAUUUCGGAGUGUGUUCAUAGGCAGGAAAGGCAGCAACAAUGAACAAUCAAGAUAAAGAUUGUCACAAAGCGAGUUUUCAUAGGGCAAUUGUCACUCUGCUUAUUUUUGCUGCUUUUUUGCUCACUCCACUGGUCGGUGACUAUUGCCUGAGGGAGCAUGAAACUGCAUCUGCCUCGGCCAGUAGUAGAUCACAUAUGUACUACAGAGUACCUAUUGUUGUUAUCUUUGUAUACCUUUCUUUUAAUUUUUACCUUGAUCUGAUUUUUGUAAUUAGCAUGACACGGAAAGGCUACUCUAAACAUUCCUUACAGAAAUAAUGUUACAGAUUUUGAAUUAGCAAGAUACUGGUAGCUGCUCUGCUGUAACAAGAAAUAUUGGUAGUAUUGUAGUAUACAAUUGAUUAAUGUUA
Molecule: unclassified non-coding RNA, 1042 nt
Filed under: Hevea brasiliensis (rubber tree)
Lineage: Eukaryota; Viridiplantae; Streptophyta; Magnoliopsida; Malpighiales; Euphorbiaceae
Source: RNAcentral